Molecule: ribosomal RNA, 1372 nt
Filed under: uncultured bacterium
Lineage: Bacteria
Description: bacterial SSU rRNA
Rfam family: Bacterial small subunit ribosomal RNA
Source: RNAcentral
GAUGAACGCUGGCGGCGUGCCUAAUACAUGCAAGUCGAGCGAACGGACGAGAAGCUUGCUUCUCUGAUGUUAGCGGCGGACGGGUGAGUAACACGUGGAUAACCUACCUAUAAGACUGGGAUAACUUCGGGAAACCGGAGCUAAUACCGGAUAAUAUUUUGAACCGCAUGGUUCAAAAGUGAAAGACGGUCUUGCUGUCACUUAUAGAUGGAUCCGCGCUGCAUUAGCUAGUUGGUAAGGUAACGGCUUACCAAGGCAACGAUGCAUAGCCGACCUGAGAGGGUGAUCGGCCACACUGGAACUGAGACACGGUCCAGACUCCUACGGGAGGCAGCAGUAGGGAAUCUUCCGCAAUGGGCGAAAGCCUGACGGAGCAACGCCGCGUGAGUGAUGAAGGUCUUCGGAUCGUAAAACUCUGUUAUUAGGGAAGAACAUAUGUGUAAGUAACUGUGCACAUCUUGACGGUACCUAAUCAGAAAGCCACGGCUAACUACGUGCCAGCAGCCGCGGUAAUACGUAGGUGGCAAGCGUUAUCCGGAAUUAUUGGGCGUAAAGCGCGCGUAGGCGGUUUUUUAAGUCUGAUGUGAAAGCCCACGGCUCAACCGUGGAGGGUCAUUGGAAACUGGAAAACUUGAGUGCAGAAGAGGAAAGUGGAAUUCCAUGUGUAGCGGUGAAAUGCGCAGAGAUAUGGAGGAACACCAGUGGCGAAGGCGACUUUCUGGUCUGUAACUGACGCUGAUGUGCGAAAGCGUGGGGAUCAAACAGGAUUAGAUACCCUGGUAGUCCACGCCGUAAACGAUGAGUGCUAAGUGUUAGGGGGUUUCCGCCCCUUAGUGCUGCAGCUAACGCAUUAAGCACUCCGCCUGGGGAGUACGACCGCAAGGUUGAAACUCAAAGGAAUUGACGGGGACCCGCACAAGCGGUGGAGCAUGUGGUUUAAUUCGAAGCAACGCGAAGAACCUUACCAAAUCUUGACAUCCUUUGACAACUCUAGAGAUAGAGCCUUCCCCUUCGGGGGACAAAGUGACAGGUGGUGCAUGGUUGUCGUCAGCUCGUGUCGUGAGAUGUUGGGUUGAGUCCCGCAACGAGCGCAACCCUUAAGCUUAGUUGCCAUCAUUAAGUUGGGCACUCUAAGUUGACUGCCGGUGACAAACCGGAGGAAGGUGGGGAUGACGUCAAAUCAUCAUGCCCCUUAUGAUUUGGGCUACACACGUGCUACAAUGGACAAUACAAAGGGCAGCGAAACCGCGAGGUCAAGCAAAUCCCAUAAAGUUGUUCUCAGUUCGGAUUGUAGUCUGCAACUCGACUACAUGAAGCUGAAAUCGCUAGUAAUCGUAGAUCAGCAUGCUACGGUGAAUACGUUCCCGGGUCU